This 1281-nucleotide ribosomal RNA is filed under the name Triticum aestivum (bread wheat). RNAcentral's name for it is "partial small subunit ribosomal RNA". Lineage: Eukaryota; Viridiplantae; Streptophyta; Magnoliopsida; Poales; Poaceae. The record is from RNAcentral.
AUGUCUUGGCUCACGCGCUCCAUUGUGGCCACCCUGUCCUCCGCCCUCUCCGGCUCAAGCAAGGGAUUUGACAGCAGAGACGACGACGAAGACGACCACUCCGAGGCAGCCUCCGGCGACGAAACCCCGGAUCACGCCGCCAACGCCGACGCCGAGGAGGACGAGCAGCCGGACACCCCCGGCCGCGGGGUCAAGGGCGACAUCUCCGAGCUGACCGAGUCCCUCACCCGACGCUUCUGGGGCGUCGCCUCCUUCCUCGCGCCACCGCCGUCCGCCGGGGCCGAGGCCGCCGAUACGUCGACGGCGGCGGCUGAGGCGGAGGCGGAGGCGGAGGGAGAGCAUGGGCCCCAGUCCCCGCGGGUCGCCGGGAUCCGGAACGACCUGGCUGAGAUCGGGGGCAGGGUGAGGAGCGGCAUCUCGAUGCUGUCCAACGCCAACGCCGUGGCGGAGAUCUCCAAGAUCGCCUCGUCCUUCCUGCCUUUCGUGCCGGAGGAAGAGGAGGAGGAUGUGGAUGCGGUGGGCCUGACGGAGGAAGUGGUGGUGUUCGUCAGGCACACCUCGACCUCUCCCGAGACGUGGCUCGAUUUCCCCCUCUUCGUCAACGACCGGCACGCCGAUGAUUUUGAACUGUCAGAUACACAAUAUGAACAUGCAUUGGCUAUAGAGCGUAUAGUACCAAGCUUAUCAUAUCUCAGAACCGAACUUUGUUCGACCAAUAUGAGUGAAGCAUGCUUUUGGAAGAUCUAUUUUGUGCUUCUUCACUCAAAGCUCAACAAGGAAGAUGCUGAACUUCUUUCAACGACACAAAUCCUGGAAGCAAGAGAAGAGUUAUUGCAAAGCUCCCCAAGGAUGAAAAAUGUAGCGUCUGAGGGUCCUGGGGGCCCAUCAGAAAGCAGCAAUGUUCUAUCUACCCAAGCUGAAGAUAAAGAGUUGUCACCCUCAAGCAUCCAAGACAAGAGUGGAAUGGCUGAAGCAACAUCUUUCCAAGAACCAACUCCUGAUCCUCUGCCAGGGGCUGAGGCUGACAAGCAUCCCAUUUCAACCAGCGAGCCGGAAAUUAUUGACAAGUCUGUAAUUGAAGAAGAGCUGGUGGUGAAAACUGAAAUCAAGAAUCAGGGUGACAAACCCAACCUGUACACCCCGGAGGACGACGACGACAAAGAAGUGGAGGAUUGGCUAGAGGACAUGGACCAUGCCGACAGCAAAACAGGCAAUAUCACCUCGGUUGGGCAGGACGAAGACGUGUCAUUCAGUGACCUGGAGGAUGACGAUGAUGAUUAA